Molecule: unclassified non-coding RNA, 295 nt
Filed under: Hevea brasiliensis (rubber tree)
Lineage: Eukaryota; Viridiplantae; Streptophyta; Magnoliopsida; Malpighiales; Euphorbiaceae
Source: RNAcentral
UGGAGUUGAGCAUGUUGAGGUCAAUUUUUAUAUUCGCGGACCACAUGGAGCUGGCAAGGUUUAUGCAGAGAUGUUUCAAGACAAGGUGGAUAAGCAGUGGAAGUUCACAUACUUGAUCGUUGAGAUCAAAUCACCUUCCCCAGCUCAACUGAUGCUCGAGUCGUAUGUACCUGCCUGAAUAUCAACACAAGUACAUUAUAUGUUCUGUCCUGCUGCUAUAAUCGUGUGGAUGCAGUCGAUAUCCUCUAAACUUUUUUUUCCAACUCCCCUGAGAGCUCUCAAGAUGACAGUUCUG